UCAGGCUUAGGAGGAGCUUCAUGCACGGGGCAUUCGGGUGGUUUGUUUAACAAUGGAUGGGCAUGCCUCCAAUGUCAGCAUGUGCAACCAACUUGGAUGUGAGCUGAAGGGGGACCCAUGACAGGCACUUCAAACCAGCUUACCACAUCCGGUGACUGCUGAGAACGUUUUUGUAAUGAUGGAUGCUUGCCACAUGCUCAAGUUGGCACGUUAUAUGUUGCAGGCAUACAGUCCAAUUGCGACGACCACCGGACAGAUCCAUUGGAGGUACAUCAAUCGUCUCCAUGAUCUGCAAAAAGAGGAUGGACUGCAUGCUGCCAAUAAAAUGACAGAAAAGCAUGUCUACUUUGAGAACCACAAGAUGAGGGUGAACCUGGCUGCACAGACACUGAGUCACUCCGUGUCAGUGGCUCUCCGCACAAUGAGGGAUCUUGGGUACUCUCAGUUUAAGGACUGUGAGGCAACGGCAGAAUUCAUUGAGGUAAUACAAUCAGUGAUUGUAGAACCAAGUACCUGUUUCUUUUUGUUAAACUAGUGCAUGCCCGUCCAUCCAUCAAAUUGGUAAAGCUCUGUGAAAUUUGCUGUAGUACAAAACGUGUUUACUUGCAUUUUCAGCAUACAGUUUAGAAAUAUUUACCUGAUACCUUAUGAUUUACAUGCCGAUAUGUCUAUAGAUUAUUGACAGGCUGUUUGACUCAAUGAAUGGACGCAGUCCUUGGGCCAAAGGAUACAAAGCUCCCUUGGGUGCUUUCAAUUGGACGGAGAGGAAAGCAUUUUUCUCUAGAGCCAGGGACUACUUGCUCACUUUGGUCACAAAAGAUGGAACCCCCCUUCACCGGUCUAAGAUGUCAAUUAAAAUAGUGUUUGUUAAGUUCAUGACAUGAGUUCUCCGAUACUCUAUUCCCUUAUGCAUCGAGUUCCUAAGAUGCUCCGUUGUUCCCUUAUGCAUCGAGUUCCUAAGAUGCUCCGUUGUUCCCUUAUGCAUCGAGUUCCUAAGAUGCUCCACUGUUCCCUGAUGCAUCAAGUUCCUAAGAUGCUCCGUUGUUCCCUUAGGCAUCGAGUUCCUAAGAUGCUCCGUUGUUUAGUUAUGCAUCGAGUUUCUAAGAUGCUCUGUUGUUUCCUUAUGCAUCGAGUUCCUAAGAUGCUCCUAGCUGCUUCAGUUUUGUUUCUGUUGGAAUUAUCUUGUAUUCAGUGUUUUUCAGGUCCUGCAUGUUUCUAAAUGGUAUGUAUUACAGAACACCAAGUACGUGUAGGUGUCAAAAUGGUAGGUAUUGGUAGGUAUUUUAGUGUUGUGCAUGUGUUACAUUUUUGCAUGUGUUCCAUUGUUCCAAGUUAUUGUUCCAUUGUCUACUAAAUUAAUUAUUACACAUUAUCAAUGGAUGUGAUGGAAAAUUCAAUUACUGCUCUGAAUGAACAAAAUCACAUGGUGCUUUGUUGGGGUGUCUUGUUUGCCAUGAUCAGAGUAAUACAACUUUUGUCUUUUGCAAGUACUUGUCGGUGAUCGGAUUUAUCAUCAAUAUCGACACGUUCAUGCUGAUGAUUCCUGAACUGCUCCAGGUUCAGCGGUAUGUGCUCACCUCCAGGUUCAGCCAGGAUCACUUGGAGCUCCUAUUUAACUGAAUCAGAGCAUCAGGUGGCUGUAAUAAUAAUCCCACGGCGCGCAAGUUCCAGGCCAUCUUCCAGGCCAUCUUCCAUCGUCUGAUGGUUCGGUGUGGUGUCUCACCUAGUGAGACAGGCAAUGUGGCAGCCCAAGAUAACACUGUGUCCCUGUCUGCUGUGGAGAUGUCCUCUGCUGAAACUGCUGAAGAGCACCCAUCUCCAUUCGCCAACAUUUCGGCCCUUGUGUCUGACCACAGUUAUCUCCCCACUCGGUUUGGUGGACUGGUAGAAAAUGCUCUGGUCUACAUCGCAGGUUUUGUAGUCAGGCAGAUUCUACGAAAGCUGUCCUGCGCUGUGUGCCGUUGGAGCUUGGUCAGAGAAGCUGCGCCAUCUUCAUUUGACAAGAAUUUCCACCUUCUGAUGCUGAAAAACAACAGCGGCCUAGUGAUCCCAUCACUAGGCACAGUGAAGGUGCUGAGAGCUGCAGAGAGGGUGAUCCGCCAAUCUUCGAGAAUGCAAGCUCAAGCUCCUAAGGUGUCAACAGUCCGAGGGGAGAUUGGCACAGAGGAUGUAUUUCUGCCUGGGGACCACAUGGAGGAGACACAGUUUGGCAUCGAGAACCACCAUUCUGACCUGUUAUCAUUGGUUGUGUCUGUGUUUCAUAAGAUGAGGCUGCACCACAUUGCCAAACUCGCCUCUCUUGAACUUCAGAAAAGAAGCACAAGAAAGAAGUUAUGCAAAACAGUCCUCUUUCAAGGGUUUUAAUCCGACACAGGUAUUGACACCAACCCCCCCUCCUCCACCUUCCCGUGAGGAUGGACACUGGUUUUCAGCGGCUCUCACACACACACCCCCCACACACACACACCUU
Molecule: long non-coding RNA, 2470 nt
Organism: Centropristis striata (black sea bass)
Lineage: Eukaryota; Metazoa; Chordata; Actinopteri; Perciformes; Serranidae
Exons: 4
Source: RefSeq, a predicted model, not a curated record